UAAGGAAUAUUGGUCAAUGGACGCAAGUCUGAACCAGCCAUGCCGCGUGGAGGAUGAAGGCCCUCUGGGUUGUAAACUUCUUUUAUUUGGGACGAAACACUUCUUUUCUAAGGAGCUUGACGGUACCGGAUGAAUAAGCACCGGCUAACUCCGUG
RNAcentral lists this ribosomal RNA (155 nucleotides) under uncultured bacterium. RNAcentral's name for it is "partial 16S rRNA". It matches the Rfam family "Bacterial small subunit ribosomal RNA", at positions 355 to 507 of the family's 1533-position model. The record is from RNAcentral.